Long non-coding RNA from Chinchilla lanigera (long-tailed chinchilla), 462 nucleotides. RefSeq lists it as uncharacterized. The transcript has 2 exons. Lineage: Eukaryota; Metazoa; Chordata; Mammalia; Rodentia; Chinchillidae. The record is from RefSeq and is a predicted model, not a curated record.
CAUGCCACAAGGAAGAGCGUGCACAAGAGGGGGGCUGCUCGCUGGUGUCGUCUCCUCGAGUCAGGGAGUUCACACACCCUCCAAAGCCUUCUCCUUGAACUCUUCAGAACAUCCAGGACUCUCCUGGGACUCAAGAACUCUGCCAAUUUGGCUAAUAAGACAAGCCGGGUGCCCUCAUGCAGGCAGCCUCGGGCCCAUCCUGGCCAGGGCCUUGUAGGACAGCCAAAUGGACUUCUCGGCUGGCUAGGAUCCAGGAGACUGCACGUGCCAUCCAAGGUUACAAGAGUCAGCUUGGUACAAAAGGCCAUCCCUGCUAAAGAGCACAGGAGCUGGAAGGCCUGAUACCAGCGUCACAGACCGUGGCAUUGGCACUUGGGUCUUCUCUGACUUUUGUAGAGGGCCAGAUGUGUUUUUCCACCAUGACUCUCCUGUUCCUCACAAUAAAGCAAAAAGAAUGUUGAA